RNAcentral lists this unclassified non-coding RNA (336 nucleotides) under Tulostoma striatum. RNAcentral's name for it is "partial internal transcribed spacer region". The stretch from base 1 to 46 matches the Rfam family "Eukaryotic small subunit ribosomal RNA", at positions 1786 to 1831 of the family's 1831-position model. Lineage: Eukaryota; Fungi; Basidiomycota; Agaricomycetes; Agaricales; Agaricaceae. The record is from RNAcentral.
AAGUCGUAACAAGGUUUCCGUAGGUGAACCUGCGGAAGGAUCAUUAUCGAAUAAACUUGAUGGGUUGUCGCUGGCUUUUAGGAGCAUGUGCACAUCUGUCAUUUUUAUCCAUCCACCUGUGCACCUUUUGUAGUCUUUGGAGAAAAUGAGCGUGAAUCUGUCGAGGUCCCUCUGGUCCUCGGAAAAGAGGUGUUUGCCGUAUGGCUCACCUUUGAUACUCGCGAGUUACUCUAAGACUAUGUUCUUUCAUAUACUACGAAUGUCAUAGAAUGUUAUCAUUGGGCCUCAGUGCCUAUAAAACAUAUACAACUUUCAGCAACGGAUCUCUUGGCUCUC